GAGAGAGAAAGAGGUGAAGAGAAGAACAAGAGUGUUGAAGGGAAAGCUUGAGGAAUCAAUUUGGGGUGACCUAGGAGCUGAAUUGAAGCAAAGGUUGGGAUUAAUCAUCUUCAAAGACGUUGUGCAGGAGUAAUGCUCGGUGAGUCUUUGCUUGGGAUAUCGGGAGCUUUCUCCGAUAUCGGUGUCGAGUCGGCUCUGGUCUAGGCUUGUUGUGUCGGUCUAGAUUAGGUUGUUUAUAUUUUCCUUUGGAUUAUUGUUUUGUUGAUGACUACCCGUAUGUUUGGGCUUUUGAGGUUUAUCUUUGGGAUAUGAUUUAUUUGCUCAUGGCAUGUACAUAUUUGAUCACUCUGAUUUAUAUUCCGUUGCAACUGUUGAGGUUUAUAUACAUGUCUAUCGGUUUUUGAAUUUUGAUGAGACGUAAUCUCUAUUUCUUGAAUAAAUGUAUUAUUCGCAUGUUUAAUUGCUUAAAUAGAAAUAGGAGUGUUACACAAUGGUUUUAUGGCACCGUGUCCAGAAAGUAGGAAAGAUAGAGAGAAGAGGAAAGAGCUUGAAGAUGGAGAAAUCUUGAGCUAGAGAGGAGAUUGAAGCCUAAGCUAGAAGGACUUGAAGUUAGAGGUAAGGGGGAUAGAUCUUUUCCAUUAAAUAAGCUAGAAUUCUCAUUUUUCACUUUUGAAUGGAUUAUGAUUUUGUUGAUUUUAAAUGUUCAUUUUCGUGCUCAAGUUUAUGUG
This 728-nucleotide long non-coding RNA is filed under the name Medicago truncatula (barrel medic). RNAcentral describes it as "lncRNA gene14747". Lineage: Eukaryota; Viridiplantae; Streptophyta; Magnoliopsida; Fabales; Fabaceae. The record is from RNAcentral.